AAACUUCUUUUGUACGGGAAUAACCCUCCGGACGUGUCCGGAGCUGAAGGUACCGUAAGAAUAAGGAUCGGCUAACUCCGUGCCAGCAGCCGCGGUAAUACGGAGGAUCCAAGCGUUAUCCGGAUUUACUGGGUUUAAAGGGUGCGUAGGCGGAUUAAUAAGUCAGUGGUGAAAGCCUGCAGCUUAACUGCAGAACUGCCAUUGAUACUGUUAGUCUGGAGUAUGGUUGAGGUAGCUGGAAUGUGUCAUGUACGGUGAAAUGCUUAAG
RNAcentral lists this ribosomal RNA (268 nucleotides) under uncultured Bacteroidota bacterium. Its description in RNAcentral is "uncultured Bacteroidetes bacterium partial 16S rRNA". It matches the Rfam family "Bacterial small subunit ribosomal RNA", at positions 427 to 694 of the family's 1533-position model. The record is from RNAcentral. Lineage: Bacteria; Pseudomonadati; Bacteroidota.